RNAcentral lists this ribosomal RNA (1553 nucleotides) under Escherichia coli CFT073. RNAcentral's name for it is "16S ribosomal RNA". It matches the Rfam family "Bacterial small subunit ribosomal RNA". Lineage: Bacteria; Pseudomonadati; Pseudomonadota; Gammaproteobacteria; Enterobacterales; Enterobacteriaceae. The record is from RNAcentral.
UUAAAUUGAAGAGUUUGAUCAUGGCUCAGAUUGAACGCUGGCGGCAGGCCUAACACAUGCAAGUCGAACGGUAACAGGAARCAGCUUGCUGYUUYGCUGACGAGUGGCGGACGGGUGAGUAAUGUCUGGGAAACUGCCUGAUGGAGGGGGAUAACUACUGGAAACGGUAGCUAAUACCGCAUAACGUCGCAAGACCAAAGAGGGGGACCUUCGGGCCUCUUGCCAUCGGAUGUGCCCAGAUGGGAUUAGCUAGUAGGUGGGGUAAAGGCUCACCUAGGCGACGAUCCCUAGCUGGUCUGAGAGGAUGACCAGCCACACUGGAACUGAGACACGGUCCAGACUCCUACGGGAGGCAGCAUGUGGGGAAUAUUGCACAAUGGGCUGCAAGCCUGAUGCAGCCAUGCCGGGUGUAUGAAGAAGGCCUUCGGGUUUGUAAAGUACUUUCAGCGGGGAGGAAGGGAGUAAAGUUAAUACCUUUGCUCAUUGACGUUACCCGCAGAAGAAGCACCGGCUAACUCCGUGCCAGCAGCCGCGGUAAUACGGAGGGUGCAAGCCGUUAAUCGGAAUUACCUGGGCGUAAAGCGCACGCAGGCUGGUUUGUUAAGUCAGAUGUGAAAUCCCCGGGCUCAACCUGGGAACUGGRUCUGAUACCUGGCAAGCUUGAGUCUCGUAGAGGGGGGUAGAAUUCCAGGUGUAGCGGUGAAAUGCGUAGAGAUCUGGAGGAAUACCGGUGGCGAAGGCGGCCCCCUGGACNAAGACUUGACGCUCAGGUGCGAAAGCGUGGGGGAGCAAACAGGAUUAAGAUACCCUGGUAGUCCACGCCGUAAACCGAUGUCGACUUGGAGGUUGUGCCCUUGAGGCGUNGCUUCCGGAGCUAACGCGUUAAGUCGACCGCCUGGGGAGUACGGCCGCAAGGUUAAAACUCAAAUGAAUUGACGGGGGCCCGCACAAGCGGUGGAGCAUGUGGUUUAAUUCGAUGCAACGCGAAGAACCUUACCUGGUCUUGACAUCCACGGAAGUUUUCAGAGAUGAGAAUGUGCCUUCGGGAACCGUGAGACAGGUGCUGCAUGGCUGUCGUCAGCUCGUGUUGUGAAAUGUUGGGUUAAGUCCCGCAACGAGCGCAACCCUUAUCCUUUGUUGCCAGCGGUCCGGCCGGGAACUCAAAGGAGACUGCCAGUGAUAAACUGGAGGAAGGUGGGGAUGACGUCAAGUCAUCAUGGCCCUUACGACCAGGGCUACACACGUGCUACAAUGGCGCAUACAAAGAGAAGCGACCUCGCGAGAGCAAGCGGACCUCAUAAAGUGCGUCGUAGUCGGAUUGGAGUCUGCAACUCGACUCCAUGAAGUCGGAAUCGCUAGUAAUCGUGGAUCAGAAUGCCACGGUGAAUACUUUCCCGGGCCUUGUACACACCGCCGUCACACCAUGGGAGUGGGUUGCAAAAGAAGUAGGUAGCUUAACCUUCGGGAGGGCGCUUACCACUUUGUGAUUCAUGACUGGGGUGAAGUCGUAACAAGGUAACCGUAGGGGAACCUGCGGUUGGAUCACCUCCUUA